Molecule: long non-coding RNA, 2514 nt
Organism: Hypanus sabinus (Atlantic stingray)
Lineage: Eukaryota; Metazoa; Chordata; Chondrichthyes; Myliobatiformes; Dasyatidae
Exons: 3
Source: RefSeq, a predicted model, not a curated record
GAGCUGCCAACCAUGGCUGACAAUCCCCAUCUGCCCGAAGCAACUGGUUUUAAGAUGCCUUUUCCCCUUCUGACAGUAGGAACAGUUCCACUGGGUUUAGUAGCGAAACCACACUUGAAGGCCAGGAGUUGGACUUGGUUGCCAGAGGUUAUAUCAAGUGCAUGCAUUUAAUAGAUAGUGGGAGCUUAUCCCCAUUACCUCCCCUGGCUACGACAACCUCAAGGAACCAAAAUAACAAAGUGGAAACUAUUUGGUGAUGAAUAAGAGGCAGUUCCAGAGCAGAGGAAGAGAUGUCGAUGAAUGUAGACAGGCUGGAGUACAAUUGUGUUGUGGAGAGACAGUGGGUGCACUGUCCAGUAAACAGGGAUAUCUGUUACUUUUAGAUUUGAUUAGAAAGUGAGUGAUGUGGGAACAGGUUGUAACCCAAAUAGAAAUGAAGACUAACUCUACUUUUCAUCCACCUCCCCUUUUCUGACCAGGUUUAUACUGAGCGGAAGCUGUAUGUAAAAGAGUGGCGGAAAAGAAAGAGAAUGGCAACAGAUCUGAUCGAUGCUAUUCUGGAAGGGUAUCCCAAAAGCAAGAGGCAGUUCUUUGAGGAGCUUGGGAUCGAAACCGACGAAGACUACUCUGUUUCUCUGCCGGACUUGUGAGGACCACGGUCCGCAGAGAACUGGCAUUCAAGCCCCUCGAAGGUCUGAUGGUGUCUGCAAACCUUUAGCCUCCGAAAGUCAUGUUUAAUUCUGUCCGCUCAGUGAAUCCGGCUGUUUAGCGACUGGUUGCCGCUGAACUCUUCCUGGCUGGGUGGGAAAUCAUUGUGAAACCGACCCAUUUCUAGAGUUUUUCUCCUUUGGAGAUCUUUGAGCGAAUCGUCCUUUUGAUUUGCAUUCUUCGGAUGGCCAUAUCAGCUUUUAAACUGUUUUGAGGUCAUGUCAAACAGGAGAUUACUUGGCCCUGUCAAUCUGUUCAAGAUUGUACUGAUUUUCUUGUUGCACCCCACUCUCGUUUCUCCAACUCCCUUACGACAUAAAUAUAUUCACCUCAGAAUAAAAUAUUAGUCUUCGCAGCCCUCUGGGAUGAAGCCGACAUUUCUUAUUGCAAUCGUAAUGAAGUACACCUUAUUCAGAGACUUUGACCCCCUGGUAAUUUAGCCAGGAGAAAUUUUCCAACCCGUCAUUGGAAGUUUGAAAACUGCGAAGGGAAGAUGGCCAGCAGAUACGUCACUGGCGGUUCUGAAUACCCACAAGUAUCGUUCUAAAGUUUGAUCCAGGGCUCCGCUCGAGUUCUCUGAACUGUGGGCAGCUCUGCAUGGGUGUGGCGUUCUAGCAGUGUUAGUGUAAUUACGAAACUGCAAAGAGGGGCUUUAUAAAUGAACGAGAGGAUUUUCUUACUGGGGUCUUCAUCAACAGUGAUGGAGUUUAGUAUGAGCUGGGAGCGUGUGCUUGAUGAAUUUUGUGUUUUCACGUACAUUUCUGUGGAGAUAAUUAACCCAGAAGUACAAAUAAAUGUUUAUUUUAAUAUGGAAAUCAUACUUAUGUCUUUAUUUAUGAUACGUGACUUUCGGGGCAGUUUCAGAGUCAUUGGUGGUGUCGUGUAUCUGUCUGGACUUGAGUGUCGGCUGGAACGGGCAAUGACAGGUUCUUUCUCAUCUCAGUUCAAAAUAAAUUUAUUAUCAAAGUACGUGGACGUCACCGGAUACAACCCUGAGACCUACUCCAUCCGCCAAAAGCGAAACUUCCCGGCGACCAAGCAUUCCCUUUCCGAUGUGUGGGUCCAUGGCGGCCUUGUGCCUCCCUCAGGGUGGAGGAGCAACACCUUGUAUUCAGUCUGGGUAGCCUCCAACCUGAUGGAAUGAACAUCGAUUUCACCUCCUGGUUUAAAAAAAAUUGCUUUCUCUCCCCUCUACCUCCAUUCCUCCCUCUGGCCUCUUACCUCUUCUCACCUGCCGAUCACUUCCCCCUGGGUCCCCUCUUCCUUCCCUUUCUCCUAUGGUCCUCUCUCCUCUCCAAUCAAAUUCCUCCUUCUCCAACUCUAGUCUACUUUUUACGUCUGCCUGGCUUCACUGUCACCUGCCAGCUAUCCUCCUUACUCUCCCCCCACCUUUGUGUUCUGCCAUCUUCCCCCUUCCUUUCCAGUCCUGAUGAAGGGUCUCAGCCUGAACCAUUGACGGUUUAUUCAUUUCCAUGGAUGCUGCCCAACUUCCUGGGUUCUUUCAGUGCUUUGUGUGUAUUGCCUGAUAUUUAUUUUCUUGUUCAGUUAUAGAAUAACAUCCACAAUAGAAUCUGUGAAAGACUGCCCCCAAUGGACAACAAUAAUAAAUAAAUAAGCAAUAAAUGUUGAGAACAGGAGAUGAAGAGUCCUGGAAAGAGAGUCCGUUGAUUCCGGGAACAGUUCAGUGGUGGGGCAAGUGAAGUUAUCCCCUCUAGUUCAGCAGCAGGGGAGGGUGCCCUCAGCAGUGUAGCACCAGCAAUAGAUGACAAACUGAGUCAGGUUUCAAUGUUAAAACCACUGUCUUUA